UGCAGUCGAGGGGUAGUCAUCUUCGGAUGAUGAGACCGGCGCACGGGUGCGUAACGCGUAUACAAUCUACCUUUUACAGAGGGAUAGCCCAGAGAAAUUUGGAUUAAUACCUCAUAGUAUUUUUGAAUGGCAUCAUUUGAUUAUUAAAGUUCCAACGGUAAAAGAUGAGUAUGCGUCCCAUUAGCUAGAUGGUAAGGUAACGGCUUACCAUGGCUACGAUGGGUAGGGGUCCUGAGAGGGAGAUCCCCCACACUGGUACUGAGACACGGACCAGACUCCUACGGGAGGCAGCAGUGAGGAAUAUUGGACAAUGGGCGCAAGCCUGAUCCAGCCAUGCCGCGUGCAGGAAGAAGGUCCUAUGGAUUGUAAACUGCUUUUAUACAGGAAGAAACACCUCUACGUGUAGAGACUUGACGGUACUGUAUGAAUAAGGACCGGCUAACUCCGUGCCAGCAGCCGCGGUAAUACGGAGGGUCCAAGCGUUAUCCGGAAUCAUUGGGUUUAAAGGGUCCGUAGGCGGUUUAAUAAGUCAGUGGUGAAAGCCCAUCGCUCAACGAUGGAACGGCCAUUGAUACUGUUAAACUUGAAUUAUUAGGAAGUAACUAGAAUAUGUAGUGUAGCGGUGAAAUGCUUAGAGAUUACAUGGAAUACCAAUUGCGAAGGCAGGUUACUACUAAUAUAUUGACGCUGAUGGACGAAAGCGUGGGGAGCGAACAGGAUUAGAUACCCUGGUAGUCCACGCCGUAAACGAUGGAUACUAGCUGUUCGGAGCAAUCUGAGUGGCUAAACGAAAGUGA
This 797-nucleotide ribosomal RNA is filed under the name uncultured bacterium. Its description in RNAcentral is "bacterial SSU rRNA". It matches the Rfam family "Bacterial small subunit ribosomal RNA", at positions 56 to 860 of the family's 1533-position model. The record is from RNAcentral.